UGGGGAAUUUUCCGCAAUGGGCGCAAGCCUGACGGAGCAAGACCGCGUGAGGGAUGAAGGUCUGUGGAUUGUAAACCUCUUUUGAUAGGGAAGAAGAACUGACGGUACCUAUCGAAUCAGCCUCGGCUAACUCCGUGCCAGCAGCCGCGGUAAUACGGAGGAGGCAAGCGUUAUCCGGAAUUAUUGGGCGUAAAGCGUCCGUAGGUGGUUAUCCAAGUCAGUUGUCAAAGCGUGGAGCUUAACUCCAUAAGGGCAAAUGAAACUGGGUGACUAGAGUGCGAUAGGGGCAAGGGGAAUUCCCAGUGUAGCGGUGAAAUGCGUAGAUAUUGGGAAGAACACCGGUGGCGAAAGCGCCUUGCUGGGUCUGCACUGACACUGAGGGACGAAAGCUAGGGGAGCG
RNAcentral lists this ribosomal RNA (400 nucleotides) under uncultured bacterium. Its description in RNAcentral is "bacterial SSU rRNA". It matches the Rfam family "Bacterial small subunit ribosomal RNA", at positions 355 to 770 of the family's 1533-position model. The record is from RNAcentral.